UCUCUCGGGAUGUCCCGGGAUGUCCCGGGAUGUUUGUUGGCUCCCCGGUGCGCCGCGCCAAUUCUCACAGCGCCGGGCGGUGUCUCUGUACGUUAACCUGGUUUGCACGAAGCAGGGAGCUCCUGGUGAUCCUCCAAAAGCUCCCUGGUCAUCAAAAGUUUACACUGUUUGCAGAUUUUAACAGAGUGCUAUCUGUCUGGAUUUAUAAGCUUCCCCCCAAUCCAGCUUUGUUGGAUUUCAUUCAGUUGAAAAGAUUAACAAGAGCAGAAAAUGCUAAACCACUCCUGCAAGUGAUGGUGGGUGCUCUGCAUUCCACCAAACUGUUGAAAUGAAUACUUUAUGGAGAGGAUCAGUUCUCUGUGUUAAAAACACAAAUGUGAAAUAGAGCCUUACCUUCUAGAAAAGCCUGCCAGCAGUUCUGCACUGCAAAAUGCAUGUGGAAAAGAUGUCACUCCAGCCUCUACUGAAUACACUGAAGCUUUCAAACAUACAUGGUAGUCUUUGAAAAGCUCUUGGACCUCCAUCAGAGACUUAGGACAUGCUGUCCUCCACUCUCCUUGAGCUCCAUGAGGGUAAAGAAACAGCUACUUCUUGCAGGAUUCCUGUGAGCUGCAUCUUUACUGUAAUUUACAUUUUGCUG
Passer domesticus (house sparrow) is the source of this 640-nucleotide long non-coding RNA. RefSeq lists it as uncharacterized. The record is from RefSeq and is a predicted model, not a curated record. The transcript has 4 exons. NCBI's taxonomy places the organism in Eukaryota, Metazoa, Chordata, Aves, Passeriformes, Passeridae.